This 751-nucleotide long non-coding RNA is filed under the name Homo sapiens (human). RNAcentral's name for it is "HSALNT0286143". The record is from RNAcentral. Lineage: Eukaryota; Metazoa; Chordata; Mammalia; Primates; Hominidae.
CCAGAACUCCACCUGGAACUGGCAGCCCAGCCCCAGGCUUCGGGCUGUACCUGGCUUGAAGGUGGGGUUUCCCCCAGGACCUAGCCCUUCCCACCUAGGAACCUGUCUGCCUCCCAGUGCCAUCAACCUGCUAUCUGUGGCGCCCAGGCAAUCUGCACCAAGGGUCACUCGCAGGCCCACGCCAAGCCACUCUCAGCCAGUCCAGAUGUGGCAGGGUGCUGGUGUGUCACUGCCGCCCAGAGCAAGCACACACCUGGGACUCACUGUGACACAUUCCAGCCUGUGGAAAGAAAGACUUCUAUUUCAAGGUGAGAAAUGAGAAGCAGGCUGACUUGAUCAACAUUUCAAACUUGCUAAGGUAUACUGAAUAUAACUUCUAGAAGGAUCAAAGAUUAGUAGAGGAUACAAGAAAAAGCACACAAAUAACUACAAAAUAAAGGCCAGUAAGAUAAAUAUCAUAAGAGUGCGGCAAACAAAGUUUGAGAAUAAAGAAGAAACAGCAUCACAUUAUCUGUUUAGUGUCUUAACAGCUGUAUGCAAGGUGGCAAAGAAAUGCAUGUAUUCAUUUUGCAUAUUUAAAAUUACAAGUGUCUACAGCUCACAGACAAUCUUUGAAUAAUUUUUUGCAAGUGUCUAAUAAAUGUUUUGGAAAUAAUAAUGAAGUCGUUUUUUAAAUAUCAAAUGAGAGAUUAUUAAUAUCGAUGUAUAAAACCCAAGGCUAACAUUUAUUUUCUAUAUUCCUUGCUUGGAC